AAGUCGUAACAAGGUCUCCGUUGGUGAACCAGCGGAGGGAUCAUUACAGAGUUGCAAAACUCCCAACCCUUUGUGAACGAACUUGCCAGUUGCCUCGGCGGGGAGCCCCUCAGGGAGCCGACCGCCGGCGGACUGCAAACUCUUUUGAACUACCAUUCUGAUUACUUAUUCAAUAAGUUAAAACUUUCAACAACGGAUCUCUUGGUUCUG
Molecule: unclassified non-coding RNA, 210 nt
Filed under: fungal sp.
Lineage: Eukaryota; Fungi
Description: partial internal transcribed spacer region
Rfam family: Eukaryotic small subunit ribosomal RNA (bases 1-46)
Source: RNAcentral